Molecule: long non-coding RNA, 652 nt
Organism: Austrofundulus limnaeus
Lineage: Eukaryota; Metazoa; Chordata; Actinopteri; Cyprinodontiformes; Rivulidae
Exons: 2
Source: RefSeq, a predicted model, not a curated record
UUUAUGUGUUUGUUGUUUUAUUUAAGUUAUUUGUGGCAGUUAUUUUGCAUUGUGUUGAUUCAAUAAACAUUUAUACUAUAAUUAUUUUUCUGAAAAUACAUUUUCCUAACGGACCUCAAAGAAACUAAAUCCACCUCUGCUCAGACGUGAGAUUACAGAAAAGAAAUAUUCUCAGUUUAUCAAUCUUUAUAGUGUUAAAUGCUUUUCGACAACCCUGUGAAAUUAUGUUCACUCAGCAUCGUUCAACCGUAAAAUUUUAAAAGGUCGUGUUUUCUUUUUGGUUCAGUUCUUCAGACCGAGCCUCGUCAGGAAACACGAAUAAAAACCGGCCCACGGGACCAGGAUCGUUUUGUGUGUUUCUUAAGAGGUUUUGGGAGAACGGUGUGAUGGCUCGCAGCUCAGAGGCCCUCCAUGUYAGGAACUUCGCCUAAAUCAACAGUCGCCCUGCAGUUCUGGCGCGCAGGAAAACCUUAACGAUUAUAAUGGGCCCAUAAAAAACAGAAACCUGCCAUACACUGUGAUGGACGACACACACAGAAUGGUGUGUGUUUAGUACAAGGCGAUAUUCAGUCACUAAAGAUGAAGACAGAGUAGUCAUUUUAUGUCUGUGUGUGUUAAUCGGUAUUAUUAAUAAAAUAUCUUAGAUUGUGAA